Molecule: small nuclear RNA, 24 nt
Filed under: Arabidopsis thaliana (thale cress)
Lineage: Eukaryota; Viridiplantae; Streptophyta; Magnoliopsida; Brassicales; Brassicaceae
Description: snRNA_06703
Source: RNAcentral
AGAAUAUGGUAGGGAAUGUAAGUU